Long non-coding RNA from Prosopis cineraria, 1380 nucleotides. RefSeq lists it as uncharacterized. The record is from RefSeq and is a predicted model, not a curated record. The transcript is spliced from 2 exons. NCBI's taxonomy places the organism in Eukaryota, Viridiplantae, Streptophyta, Magnoliopsida, Fabales, Fabaceae.
ACAGUCUGUAAUGCAAAAUGUCAAAUCUUCUUGUGCUUGUGUGUAUGUAAAGAAAAAAUCAAUUUGUACCUCCUGCUGUGCUACGAGCGCUUCUUUACAGGCAAUGCUAUACAUUUCCAUUGUUCUCUUAAGUUCUAAUUUCAGUCUCCUCAUUUCAGCCUCCAUAUCAUCCUAUAAUUUCAUCACAUACCCACACAGCAAUCAGUAAAAGGCCAAUAUAAUCAUUUCAUAGCUGAUUACUUAUCCAUACCAAGAUGUACUCGAGGCCUAUUAGGAUUGGAUGAAACAUGAUAUAUUAAAGAAAGUUAAAAGGAAAUCUAGUGGUAUAAUCAUAUAUCAUUCAUAAAGACUGCAAGAUGAGUGGCCUUGGCACGUUACUCACUUCUUGAUCUUAAGAAAAUACAUAUUGAAAAACUACCUUCUAAUGAAAACUAUCCAAAUUACAAAGUUCUCUAAAGGCCGCUUAAAAGUGCAAGAACUACUGAUAAAUGCACCCUGCAUGGGUAAUACAGGAAGUACAAUGUACAGCUCAAUCUUCCAUACCGUGACAUGUGGUGUUAAAAGUCCAUUUCCAUCUGAUGAGAAGGAUUCCAAAGGAGAGCUAAUAUCUAUAGACCCCCUUCGGUUCUGCAGUAACUCAAAGCUGUAGUUCCCGUCUAUCUCUGAGCUGAGUGCUACCCCAGGGCUGGACAUCCCUGAAUCAGAGCCGUCGUAUAACAAACAGAAUAUAUGGUUUGGACUUGGUCUUUCAGAGCUUACAAAGGAUACGUCAGUACCUGGAAGGGGAUUUUCCUUAUGUGACUUGCUAUUCAAAUUUCUCCCAGUUACUGGUGACCUGAUAUAACCGUGCCAAGAAUAAAUUGAAAAAGCAAAAUGAAUAAACUUGAAGGAAUUUUCUGAGAAGUAUGCACUGCCACUGACCUGAAAGAUUCAGUUUCAUCCUCUAAUUUACUUUUCACACCAGUGGAUAGCUUUUCAUGUGCUGAUAGAAACCUCUUAGUUUGACUUGAUGCUUGCUUGAUUAUGCUUGCUAGGAAGGGAAAUGGCUGGAGCAGGACGAGAAGCUGAUCGCAUUGUUUGAAUCUUUUCUUUAGCGACAACAUAGACAGAACAGAAAUCCGGUGCCCCUUUUGCCACCGUUCCUGGAAUAUCAGCUACCUUGAAUUUUCUGAUGACAAUAAAAAAAAUUGUUUGGGAAUUGAUAUGCAUUCAUUCGUAUAGGGAUGCUAGAAACAUGAGGACUUAUUUAUGCUACUGAAUCCUAAACAAAAUUUUCAACUUAAUUGGAAGCACGUGAGGUAAAAUUAAUGUGAAUAUUUCUUAGCAUUACAAAACCAUAUCAAAUUGAAAUAUGACAUAAUUGCAAGUUCUCUUUCCUCU